RNAcentral lists this small nuclear RNA (128 nucleotides) under Terrapene triunguis (Three-toed box turtle). RNAcentral describes it as "Terrapene carolina triunguis (Three-toed box turtle) U1 spliceosomal RNA (ENSTMTG00000011048.1)". It matches the Rfam family "U1 spliceosomal RNA", at positions 1 to 129 of the family's 166-position model. Rfam says of the family: U1 is a small nuclear RNA (snRNA) component of the spliceosome (involved in pre-mRNA splicing). Its 5' end forms complementary base pairs with the 5' splice junction, thus defining the 5' donor site of an intron. Lineage: Eukaryota; Metazoa; Chordata; Testudines; Emydidae. The record is from Rfam by way of RNAcentral.
AUACUUACCUGGCAGGGGAGAUACCAUGAUCACGAAGGUGGUUUUCCCAGGGUGAGGCUCAUCCAUUGCACUGCGGGUGUGCUGACCCCUGCGAUUUCCCCAAAUGCGGGAAACUCGACUGCAUAAUU